GCCGCCUGCCACCACGACCUGCCGUCCCUCUCUAUGUCUCGCCUAGCUGCGGACCACAUUUUGAAUUUUGUCUUCACAAAGUUCUGGAAGCCUCAGGCUCGGGUGGCACGCGCUGGCCAGCGAAA
Molecule: non-coding RNA, 125 nt
Filed under: Oxyrrhis marina
Lineage: Eukaryota; Dinophyceae; Oxyrrhinales; Oxyrrhinaceae
Source: RNAcentral